CCUACGGGUGGCAGCAGUGGGGAAUAUUGGGCAAUGGGGGGAACCCUGACCCAGCGACGCCGCGUGGGUGAAGAAAUCCUUCGGGAUGUAAAGCCCUGUUGUAUGGGAAGAGUAGAAGACGGUACCAUACGAGGAAGCCCCGGCAAACUACGUGCCGGCAGCCGCGGUAAUACGUAGGGGGCAAGCGUUGUUCGGAAUCACUGGGCGUAAAGGGCGCGCAGGCGGUUAGGCAAGUCAGAUGUGAAAUCCCAUGGCUUAACUGUGGAAGUGCAUUUGAAACUGCCAGGCUUGAGUACCAGAGGGGAAAGUGGAAUUCCCGGUGUAGAGGUGAAAUUCGUAGAUAUCGGGAGGAAUACCGGUGGCGAAGGCGACUUUCUGACUGGAUACUGACGCUGAGGCGCGAAAGCGUGGGGAGCAAACAGGAUUAGAUACCCCAGUAGUC
This 442-nucleotide ribosomal RNA is filed under the name uncultured Desulfobulbus sp. Its description in RNAcentral is "bacterial SSU rRNA". It matches the Rfam family "Bacterial small subunit ribosomal RNA", at positions 338 to 795 of the family's 1533-position model. The record is from RNAcentral. Lineage: Bacteria; Pseudomonadati; Thermodesulfobacteriota; Desulfobulbia; Desulfobulbales; Desulfobulbaceae.